GUUAGGAUGGCAGAACCCGGCCAUUGCAAAAGACCUAAGCCCUUUACACAGGGGUUCAAAUCCCCUUCCUAACC
This is a transfer RNA of 74 nucleotides. It matches the Rfam family "tRNA". Rfam says of the family: Transfer RNA (tRNA) molecules are approximately 80 nucleotides in length.